AGGGGGGGGUAUUUUUCUAGGGCUUGGGGACAGGAGAAUUUAUUCAAUAAAUGUAUACCUAACCUGAGUACCACACUUACAACAUGAAGAAGAAAAAAAUAAUGGUGUCGUAAUCACACAAUAUGGAGUAUAUCAAAAUGAUACAACGGAGGUGAACACAUCAUGGCAUAUUCAGAAGUUGAGUCUGAUGACCAAAUAUCCACUUGUGUUCCUGGAACCUAUCAUUUCCUUUUUUGAAAUUCAGUAUGCCUCUUCAUAUUUUAAAAUUAGUUUGUGUAGCCCCCCCCCCCC
Biomphalaria pfeifferi is the source of this 291-nucleotide non-coding RNA. The record is from the annotation of a GenBank genome assembly. Lineage: Eukaryota; Metazoa; Mollusca; Gastropoda; Planorbidae.